GAGCGCCGUAGCAAUACGGAGCGGCAGACGGGAGAGUAACACGUGGGAACGCGCCCUUCGGUUCGGAAUAACUCAGGGAAACUUGGGCUAAUACCGGAUACGCCCUUACGGGGAAAGAUUUAUUGCCGAAGGAACGGCCCGCGUCCGAUUAGCUUGUUGGUGAGGUAACGGCUCACCAAGGCGACGAUCGGUAGCUGGUCUGAGAGGAUGACCAGCCUCACUGGGACUGAGACACGGCCCAGACUCCUACGGGAGGCAGCAGUGGGGAAUAUUGGACAAUGGGCGCAAGCCUGAUCCAGCCAUGCCGCGUGAGUGAUGAAGGCCCUAGGGUUGUAAAGCUCUUUCAGCGGGGAAGAUAAUGACGGUACCCGCAGAAGAAGCCCCGGCUAACUUCGUG
Molecule: ribosomal RNA, 397 nt
Filed under: uncultured bacterium
Lineage: Bacteria
Description: bacterial SSU rRNA
Rfam family: Bacterial small subunit ribosomal RNA
Source: RNAcentral